GGGGAAGGCAACGAGUCGGGCCACCUUCCUGCAUUUGUCAUUUAAUCCCCAACUUUUUGAGGCGAUAACAUUCUUUCUGUGCUUCAAGAUGUCUUCCUGUUCCUGGGUACUGUUAAUAUGAAAGACCUUAGCAAUAGCACAAAAUCUAGUCGUCGCACAACUUCCUACCCCUGGCUCUGGCAGUCAGACCCGAGGUACGGCUAGUACCAGCUCUCGGGGGUCAUCGGGUCAACAAGGCAGCGGUCCAGUUGUAAGUGGUGGCCGGGCAUAGGCAGCACUCCACUUCUGGGUGCUGUAUUAGGCCUUGGCAGCGAUCAAGGAGUGGAUAGUAACCUCGGCCAAGGUAUCGGCGGCGGUCCAGCUGGUCCUUCUGGUCAAGGAGUAGGCAGCGGUGACAGGGCUGAACAGGUUAGCAGUGGACCUCGAGCUACCUCUGGCAGCAGCGGUCUGGCUCCUUAUGCUGGUGCAAGGUAUGGCAGUUCUCAAGUGAGCAGAGUGGAUGCACUGUUUAACCCCACUGUCACCCAGCUCUUCACCAUCGACAGCUUCGUCACCCACACUGAUCAGGCUUUCCAGAGUGUGGCUGUCACCCUCACUUCCCUCCCCGUCCAGACUGUCACCACUGGAACACGCGCGGUGAGUACUUGGUAUGAAUUGUGAUAAACUAUGGUCUGGACGCUGAGCUUAGACUAGUUAACCCCUCCGUGGUGCCUCCUUGCCAUGGUGAGGGGCUCCCAUACAACUCCCUGGGACCGGUGUGGGUUGCCUGUGCCCCCUCUCCUGCCACCUCUUUUGGUGGUGUACAUGCUGAAGGGCACCAUGUAGGGGCCUUGUGAGCCAUCGGACCACCCGCUGGAGAGGUCGCCUGUGAGAAGCUGCCUUUAGUGGAUGGUUGGGUGUCCAGGCUGGGGUGAUAGGGGGACUGGGGUCUUCGCACCAGUGUGGGAGAAUGGACGAAGUAGUAGGACUCCCCUGUUGAAAAGGGGGGAGCACCGCUGGGGACGACGCACCCUUCCUUCACUGGCCCGCGCUUGGCCUCCCUGGCUGCCCUGGUAGAUGGUAUCCCUUGUUUCCAGGUCCCAUUCUUUAGAUAUUGGUUUGCUGCAUGGAUGACGGCAUGACUUCUCUUACCCAGGCUCAUGGGGUGGGCGACCAGGCCCCUGAGUCCAACCGUCCUGGAAGACCGGGAUCUGUAGCCCCCACUACAGGACUCGUUAGUGUCCUGUAGUGGUAGAGAGGAAGACCGGACUCUUCCUCUCUGCUCGCCUCCCUCCUCUGUGGUUGGGUCGAGCCCCAAGCCUGCUGUGGUGACCGUCUUCUCCCCUUGCACGGCUCCAUCUCUUCUUGUGACUACUUCACCUUUUGACCCGUCUCUUUCUAAAGGUUCUCAUCUCCGUCCCCGCCACGGCUGCUCUCGUAUGCUCCCUUCCUAUACUAAUUCGUUCCAUGCUUGGUCCUGCUACGUGGACUAAGUG
This is a non-coding RNA of Procambarus clarkii (red swamp crayfish), 1475 nucleotides long. The record is from RefSeq and is a predicted model, not a curated record. Lineage: Eukaryota; Metazoa; Arthropoda; Malacostraca; Decapoda; Cambaridae.